This 207-nucleotide ribosomal RNA is filed under the name uncultured bacterium. Its description in RNAcentral is "partial 16S ribosomal RNA". It matches the Rfam family "Bacterial small subunit ribosomal RNA", at positions 568 to 774 of the family's 1533-position model. The record is from RNAcentral.
CGUGUAGGCGGCCCGAUAAGUCCGCUGUGAAAGUCCAGGGCUCAACCCUGGGAUGCCGGUGGAUACUGUCGGGCUCGAGUCCGGAAGAGGAGUGUGGAAUUCCUGGUGUAGCGGUGAAAUGCGCAGAUAUCAGGAGGAACACCAAUGGCGAAGGCAGCACUCUGGGACGUGACUGACGCUGAGACGCGAAAGCGUGGGGAGCAAACA